GGUGAAAACUAAACGGCCGCAGAAUUUUAACUGUGCUAAGGUAGCAUAAUCAUUUGUUUUUUAAUUGAAAACUAGUAUGAACGGUUUAACGAAAUAAAGCUGUCUUUUUUAUUAUAAUUAUAAAUUAUUUUUAGAGUAAAAAUUCUCUAAUAAAAUAAAAAGACAAAAAGACCCUAUAGAGUUUAACUUUAAAAUAUUUAUUAUAUUAUUAAGUUUAGUUGGGGCAACUAAAUGAAAAAAAAUUUCAUUAAAUUUUUAUAUAAAAAUAUUAUCAUUAUUUUAAUAAAUUAAAAUAAAUUACCUUAGGGGUAACAGCGUAAGUAUCUUAAAGAGUUCAAAUCGAAAAGAUAAAUUAC
This 356-nucleotide ribosomal RNA is filed under the name Acanthomeniidae sp. SB-1 FB-2020. RNAcentral describes it as "partial large subunit ribosomal RNA". Lineage: Eukaryota; Metazoa; Mollusca; Solenogastres; Cavibelonia; Acanthomeniidae. The record is from RNAcentral.